AUUGAACGCUGGCGGCAUGCCUUACACAUGCAAGUCGAACGGGUGCAGCAAUGCACCAGUGGCAGACGGGUGAGUAACACGUGGGAACCUUCCUAGGGGUACGGAACAACUCAGGGAAACUUGAGCUAAUACCGUAUACGCCCCGGAGCAAUCCGGGGGAAAGAUUCAUCGCCCCUACGACGGGCCCGCGUCGGAUUAGGUAGUUGGUGGGGUAACGGCCUACCAAGCCUACGAUCCGUAGCNGAUCUGAGAGGAUGAUCAGCCACACUGGGACUGAGACACGGCCCAGACUCCUACGGGAGGCAGCAGUGGGGAAUCUUGGACAAUGGGCGCAAGCCUGAUCCAGCCAUGCCGCGUGAGUGAAGAAGGCCUUCGGUUGUAAG
Molecule: ribosomal RNA, 383 nt
Filed under: uncultured bacterium
Lineage: Bacteria
Description: bacterial SSU rRNA
Rfam family: Bacterial small subunit ribosomal RNA
Source: RNAcentral